This 497-nucleotide ribosomal RNA is filed under the name uncultured bacterium. Its description in RNAcentral is "partial 16S ribosomal RNA". It matches the Rfam family "Bacterial small subunit ribosomal RNA", at positions 28 to 507 of the family's 1533-position model. The record is from RNAcentral.
GAUGAACGCUGGCGGCGUGCCUAAUACAUGCAAGUCGAGCGAACGGACGAGAAGCUUGCUUCUCUGAUGUUAGCGGCGGACGGGUGAGUAACACGUGGAUAACCUACCUAUAAGACUUGGAUAACUUCGGGAAACCGGAGCUAAUACCGGAUAAUAUUUUGAACCGCAUGGUUCAAAAGUGAACGACGGUCUUGCUGUCACUUAUAGAUGUAUCCGCGCUGCAUUAGCUAGUUGGUAAGGUAACGGCUUACCAAGGCAACGAUGCAUAGCCGACCUGAGAGGGUGAUCAGUCACACUGGAACUGAGACACGGUCCAGACUCCUACGGGAGGCAGCAGUGGGGAAUCUUCCACAAUGGGCGAAAGCCUGACGGAGCAAGGCCGCGUGAGUGAAGAAGGUAUUCGGAUCGUAAAGCUCUGUUAUUAGGGAGGAACAUAUGUGAAAGUAACUGUGCAAGUCUUGACGGUACCUAAUCAGAAAGCCACGGCUAACUACGUG